UCGAAGGCUGAAACUCGCCUACAUGAAGCUGGAGUUACUAGUAAUCGCAGAUCAGAAUGCUGCGGUGAAUGCGUUCCCGGGUCUUGUACACACCGCCCGUCACACCACGGGAGUUGGAGACGCCCGAAGCCGAUUAUCUAACCUUUUGGAAGAAGUCGUCGAAGGUGGAAUCAAUAACUGGGGUGAAGUCGUAACAAGGUAGCCGUAUCGGAAGGUGCGGCUGGAUCACCUCCUUUCUAAGGAGA
Molecule: ribosomal RNA, 245 nt
Filed under: Clostridioides difficile
Lineage: Bacteria; Bacillati; Bacillota; Clostridia; Peptostreptococcales; Peptostreptococcaceae
Description: partial 16S ribosomal RNA
Rfam family: Bacterial small subunit ribosomal RNA
Source: RNAcentral